CUCGUCCACUCUCAGGCAGCAGCACAGGGACUGCAAACCGACACUUUCGUGGCCAAUAGCUUAGUUGCCAUGUACUGCAAGUGUGGAAGCUUACUUGAUGCUCGCAUGGUCUUUGACAGGAUGCCAGUCUCAACUGUUGUGUCGUGGACGGCCUUGAUUCUCGCGCACGCUGAAAACGCACAAGCCGAGUUAGCACUGGAGUUCUUCAAGGCAAUCCAAAGUGACAAAACCUGUGAACUCGACUCCAGGGCUUACAUUGCAGCACUCGUGGCGUGUGGAGCUCUGACCGCACUCGAGGCUGGAAGACGAAUCCAUGCAGAAGUUUGCAAGCGGGGUUUCGACGGCGAAGUCUACGUUGCAAACGCUCUUGUCGACUUCUACGCCAAGUGUGGAAGCAUGGACGAAGCAAUGGCAGU
Molecule: long non-coding RNA, 416 nt
Filed under: Selaginella moellendorffii
Lineage: Eukaryota; Viridiplantae; Streptophyta; Lycopodiopsida; Selaginellales; Selaginellaceae
Description: long non-coding RNA (SMOE_LNC001815)
Source: RNAcentral